GACGAACGCUGGCGGCGUGCUUAACACAUGCAAGUCGAACGGGCCUGUCUUCUUUUUUGGGGGUGGGUUGAGUGGCGAACGGGUGAGUAUCACGUGAGUAACCUGCCCUUCGGUCCUGGAUAACCGCUUGAAAGGGCGGCUAAUACGGGGUGGUCCGGUUGGUCCGCAUGGGCUGGUCGGGAUAGAUUCACUGUUUUUGGUGUUUCGGCGGGGGAUGGGCUCGCGGCCGAUGAGCUUGUUGGUGGGGUGAUGGCCUACCAAGGCGGUGACGGGGAGCCGGGCUGAGAGUGGGGGCGGCCACACUGGGACUGAGAUACGUCCCAGACUCCUGCGGGCGGCAGCAGUGGGGGGUAUUGCACAAUGGGCGGAAGCCUGAUGCAGCGACGUCGCGUGAGGGAUGGAGGCCUUCGGGUUGUGAACCUCUGUUUCCGGUGGUGAAGGCCCUGUCCGUGUGGUGGGGUUGACGGUAGCCGGUGAUGAAGCGCCGGCUAACUACGUG
RNAcentral lists this ribosomal RNA (499 nucleotides) under uncultured bacterium. Its description in RNAcentral is "partial 16S ribosomal RNA". It matches the Rfam family "Bacterial small subunit ribosomal RNA", at positions 28 to 507 of the family's 1533-position model. The record is from RNAcentral.